GCCAGGUGUGGUAGUGUGCACCUGUAAUCCCAGAUACUUGGGAGGCUGAGGCAGGAGAAUCACUUGAACCCAGGAGGCAGAGGUUGCAGUGAGCCAAGAUCAUGCCAUUGCACUCCAGCCUGGGUGACAGAGUGAGACUCUGUCUCAA
RNAcentral lists this non-coding RNA (148 nucleotides) under Theropithecus gelada (gelada). Lineage: Eukaryota; Metazoa; Chordata; Mammalia; Primates; Cercopithecidae. The record is from Rfam by way of RNAcentral.